RNAcentral lists this long non-coding RNA (439 nucleotides) under Delphinapterus leucas (beluga whale). Its description in RNAcentral is "lncRNA (ENSDLEG00000017543.1)". The record is from RNAcentral. Lineage: Eukaryota; Metazoa; Chordata; Mammalia; Artiodactyla; Monodontidae.
AAGUAUAGUUAAUUUACAAUGUUUUUUUUUUAAUUGAAUAUUUUUCAUCUCAGCCCUUGAGACGGGAGAUGUAAUUGGCCCCUGCUGGGAGGUCUGCAGGCCUUGUCAGUGCCUUCAAAAGUGAUUGACUGGGAAUUAAAAUUUCCGCCAUCUGAGGAACUCCUGAAGCAGGUACUUGGAGCUCUUCCUGCCAUGACUGUAUUUUGGGGGCUGGGGGCAGGGCCAGCGUCACGAGUGUGUCACCAGUGCAGUCACACAGGCCCCUGUGCUCAGAAGGGCUUGGUACAUGGUAAUGACUUAUUCUUUUUUUUUUUUUUUUUUUAACAUCUUUAUUGGAGUGUAAUUGCUUUACAAUGGUGUGUUAGUUUCUGCUUUAUAACAAAGUGAAUCAGCUAUACAUAUACAUAUAUCCCCAUAUCUCUUCCCUCUUGCGACUCCC